AAUGAACGCUGGCGGCAUGCCUAACACAUGCAAGUCGAACGGAAACACGGGGAGCUUUCUCCCUUGACGGUAGCGGGGGGCGGGUGAGUAACACGUGGAUAACAUUCCUCUAUGACUGGGGUAACUUCGUGGAAACGGUGCCAAUAACGGCUAAUAUAUUCAACCGCAUAGAUCAGUAGUGAAAGGCGGCUUUGCUGUCACUUUUAGCUGGUGCCGCGCCGGAUUAGCUAGUGGGUAAGGUAACGGCUUACCAAGGCGACGAUGCGUAGCCGAUCUGAGAGGAUGAUCGGCCACACUGGAACUGAGACACGGUCCAGACUCCUACGGGAGGCAGCAGUAGGGAAUAUUGCGCAAUGGGCGAAAGCCUGAUGGAGCAAUGCCGCGUGAGUGAUGAAGGCCUUCGGAUCGUAAAGCACUGUUAUUGGGGAAGAACAGAUGUAUGUGUAAACAUGCACGUCUUGACGGUACCCAAAGAAAAAGCACCGGCUAACUACGUG
This 497-nucleotide ribosomal RNA is filed under the name uncultured bacterium. Its description in RNAcentral is "partial 16S ribosomal RNA". It matches the Rfam family "Bacterial small subunit ribosomal RNA", at positions 29 to 507 of the family's 1533-position model. The record is from RNAcentral.